GGAACCCUCAGAAUUCCAGUUGAGCUUGAAUGGCAUUCAAGAGGUCAGGGGUUCGACUCCCCUUGGCUCCACCA
Molecule: transfer RNA, 74 nt
Filed under: Rhodoplanes serenus
Lineage: Bacteria; Pseudomonadati; Pseudomonadota; Alphaproteobacteria; Hyphomicrobiales; Nitrobacteraceae
Description: tRNA-Ser
Source: RNAcentral